RNAcentral lists this ribosomal RNA (381 nucleotides) under uncultured Lactobacillus sp. RNAcentral describes it as "bacterial SSU rRNA". It matches the Rfam family "Bacterial small subunit ribosomal RNA", at positions 162 to 524 of the family's 1533-position model. Lineage: Bacteria; Bacillati; Bacillota; Bacilli; Lactobacillales; Lactobacillaceae. The record is from RNAcentral.
GCUAAUACCGGAUAAAAGCUACUUUCGCAUGAAAGAAGUUUAAAAAGGCGGCGUAAGCUGUCGCUAAAGGGAUGGACCUGCGAUGCAUUAACUAGUUGGUAAGGUAACGGCUUACCAAGGCGAUGAUGCAUAGCCCGAGUUGAGAGACUGAUCGGCCACAUUGGGACUGAGACACGGCCCAAAACUCCUACGGGAGGCAGCAGUAGGGAAAUCUUCCACAAUGGACGAAAGUCUGAUGGAGCAACGCCGCGUGAGUGAAGAAGGUUUUCGGAUCGUAAAGCUCUGUUGUUGGUGAAGAAGGAUAGAGGUAGUAACUGGCCUUUAUUUGACGGUAAUCAACCAGAAAGUCACGGCUAACUACGUGCCCAGCACCGCGGUAAU